CAGCACCGCGGGAAUACGGAGGGUGCAAGCGUUAUCCGGAUUUAUUGGGUUUAAAGGGUCCGUAGGCGGAUCUGUAAGUCAGUGGUGAAAUCUCACAGCUUAACUGUGAAACUGCCAUUGAUACUGCAGGUCUUGAGUAAAUUUGAAGUGGCUGGAAUAAGUAGUGUAGCGGUGAAAUGCAUAGAUAUUACUUAGAACACCAAUUGCGAAGGCAGGUCACUAAGAUUUAACUGACGCUGAUGGACGAAAGCGUGGGGAGCGAACAGGAUUAGAUACCCCCGUAGUCCCUGUCUCUUAUACC
Molecule: ribosomal RNA, 301 nt
Filed under: uncultured bacterium
Lineage: Bacteria
Description: partial 16S ribosomal RNA
Rfam family: Bacterial small subunit ribosomal RNA
Source: RNAcentral